GACGAACGCUGGCGGCGUGCUUAACACAUGCAAGUCGAACGGAAAGGCCCUGCUUGCAGGGUACUCGAGUGGCGAACGGGUGAGUAACACGUGGGUGAUCUGCCCUGCACUUCGGGAUAAGCCUGGGAAACUGGGUCUAAUACCGGAUAGGAGCCAUUUUUAGUGUGAUGGUUGGAAAGUUUUUUCGGUGUAGGAUGAGCUCGCGGCCUAUCAGCUUGUUGGUGGGGUAAUGGCCUACCAAGGCGGCGACGGGUAGCCGGCCUGAGAGGGUGGACGGCCACAUUGGGACUGGAAUACGGCCCAGACCCAUCCGGGGGGCAGGAGUGGGGAAUUUUGCAAAAGGGGCGCAAGCCUGAUGCAGCGACCCCGGGGGGGGGAUGCCGGCCUUCGGGUUUUAAACUCCUUUCGCUAGGGACGAAGCUUUUUGGGGCGGUACCAAGAAAAGAAGCACCGGCUAACUACGG
Molecule: ribosomal RNA, 464 nt
Filed under: uncultured bacterium
Lineage: Bacteria
Description: partial 16S ribosomal RNA
Rfam family: Bacterial small subunit ribosomal RNA
Source: RNAcentral